CCGAGUCCCGACGCACUCCCCCCCCCCGGCGCCGGGGCUCCUCCCGAGCCGGGCCUCGGCGCCACUCCCCCCUGGCGCCGGGGCCCGGCUCCACU
This 95-nucleotide non-coding RNA is filed under the name Streptomyces nodosus. Its description in RNAcentral is "Streptomyces RNA 3202". It matches the Rfam family "Streptomyces RNA 3202". From Rfam's summary of the family: Identified by deep sequencing of transcriptome at the end of exponential growth phase. The record is from Rfam by way of RNAcentral. Lineage: Bacteria; Bacillati; Actinomycetota; Actinomycetes; Kitasatosporales; Streptomycetaceae.